CAGUAGCCGCGGUAAUACGUAGGUGGCAAGCGUUGUCCGGAAUUAUUGGGCGUAAAGCGCGCGCAGGUGGUUUAAUAAGUCUGAUGUGAAAGCCCACGGCUCAACCGUGGAGGGUCAUUGGAAACUGUUAAACCUGAGUGCAGGAGAGAAAAGUGGAAUUCCUAGUGUAGCGGUGAAAUGCGUAGAGAUGUGGAGGAACACCAGUGGCGAAGGCGACUCUCUGGUCUGUAACUGACGCUGAGGAGCGAAAGCGUGGGGAGCGAACAGGAUUAGAUACCCGAGUAGUCCCUGUCUCUUAUAC
Molecule: ribosomal RNA, 301 nt
Filed under: uncultured bacterium
Lineage: Bacteria
Description: partial 16S ribosomal RNA
Rfam family: Bacterial small subunit ribosomal RNA
Source: RNAcentral